Molecule: transfer RNA, 73 nt
Filed under: Puccinia graminis f. sp. tritici CRL 75-36-700-3
Lineage: Eukaryota; Fungi; Basidiomycota; Pucciniomycetes; Pucciniales; Pucciniaceae
Description: tRNA-iMet (CAT) (tRNA-iMet-CAT-1-1)
Rfam family: tRNA
About the family: Transfer RNA (tRNA) molecules are approximately 80 nucleotides in length. Their secondary structure includes four short double-helical elements and three loops (D, anti-codon, and T loops). Further hydrogen bonds mediate the characteristic L-shaped molecular structure. tRNAs have two regions of fundamental functional importance: the anti-codon, which is responsible for specific mRNA codon recognition, and the 3' end, to which the tRNAs corresponding amino acid is attached (by aminoacyl-tRNA synthetases). tRNAs cope with the degeneracy of the genetic code in two manners: having more than one tRNA (with a specific anti-codon) for a particular amino acid; and 'wobble' base-pairing, i.e. permitting non-standard base-pairing at the 3rd anti-codon position.
Source: RNAcentral
AGCGAGAUGGCGCAGCUGGUAGCGUGCUGGGCUCAUAACCCAGAGGUCGUCGGAUCGAAACUGACUCUCGCUA